This 64-nucleotide transfer RNA is filed under the name Terebratalia transversa. RNAcentral's name for it is "tRNA-Gln". The record is from RNAcentral. Lineage: Eukaryota; Metazoa; Brachiopoda; Rhynchonellata; Terebratulida; Laqueidae.
UUACGGAUAGUUUAAAGAACAUGAGUUUUUGGGACUUAUAGUGGGGUUAAUUCUUCUCUGUGAG